This 73-nucleotide transfer RNA is filed under the name Ovis aries (sheep). It matches the Rfam family "tRNA". From Rfam's summary of the family: Transfer RNA (tRNA) molecules are approximately 80 nucleotides in length. Lineage: Eukaryota; Metazoa; Chordata; Mammalia; Artiodactyla; Bovidae. The record is from Rfam by way of RNAcentral.
UCCCUGGUGGUCCAAUGGCUGAGACUCUGCACUCCCAAUGCAGGUGGCCCAGGUUUGACCCCUGGUUGGAGAA